AGUGAACGCUGGCGGUAGGCCUAACACAUGCAAGUCGAACGGCAGCACAGUAAGAGCUUGCUCUUACGGGUGGCGAGUGGCGGACGGGUGAGGAAUACAUCGGAAUCUACUUUUUCGUGGGGGAUAACGUAGGGAAACUUACGCUAAUACCGCAUACGACCUACGGGUGAAAGCAGGGGAUCUUCGGACCUUGCGCGAUUGAAUGAGCCGAUGUCGGAUUAGCUAGUUGGCGGGGUAAAGGCCCACCAAGGCGACGAUCCGUAGCUGGUCUGAGAGGAUGAACAGCCACACUGGAACUGAGACAAGGUCCAGACUCCUACGGGAGGCACCAGUGGGGAAUAUUGGACAAUGGGCGCAAGCCUGAUCCAGCCAUACCGCGUGGGGGAAGAAGGCCUUCGGGUUGUAAAGCCCUUUUGUUGGGAAAGAAAAGCAGCAGGUUAAUACCCCGCUGUUCUGACGGUACCCAAAGAAUAAGCACCGGCUAACUUCGUG
This 492-nucleotide ribosomal RNA is filed under the name uncultured bacterium. Its description in RNAcentral is "partial 16S ribosomal RNA". It matches the Rfam family "Bacterial small subunit ribosomal RNA", at positions 29 to 507 of the family's 1533-position model. The record is from RNAcentral.